CCUACGGGAGGCUGCAGUAGGGAAUAUUGGACAAUGGGCGAAAGCCUGAUCCAGCCAUGCCGCGUGUGUGAAGAAGGCCUUCGGGUUGUAAAGCACUUCCAGUGGGGAAGAAAGCCUUGGGGCUAAUACCCUCGAGGAAGGACAUCACCCACAGAAGAAGCACCGGCUAACUCCGUGCCAGCAGCCGCGGUAAUACGGAGGGUGCGAGCGUUAAUCGGAAUUACUGGGCGUAAAGCGCGCGUAGGCGGUCUGAUAAGCCGGUUGUGAAAGCCCCGGGCUCAACCUGGGAACGGCAUCCGGAACUGUCAGGCUAGAGUGCAGGAGAGGAAGGUAGAAUUCCCGGUGUAGCGGUGAAAUGCGUAGAGAUCGGGAGGAAUACCAGUGGCGAAGGCGGCCUUCUGGACUGACACUGACGCUGAGGUGCGAAAGCGUGGGUAGCAAACAGGAUUAGAUACCCGUGUAGUC
This 465-nucleotide ribosomal RNA is filed under the name Vreelandella stevensii. Its description in RNAcentral is "partial 16S ribosomal RNA". It matches the Rfam family "Bacterial small subunit ribosomal RNA", at positions 338 to 795 of the family's 1533-position model. Lineage: Bacteria; Pseudomonadati; Pseudomonadota; Gammaproteobacteria; Oceanospirillales; Halomonadaceae. The record is from RNAcentral.